Molecule: long non-coding RNA, 370 nt
Filed under: Nicotiana benthamiana
Lineage: Eukaryota; Viridiplantae; Streptophyta; Magnoliopsida; Solanales; Solanaceae
Description: long non-coding RNA (NBEN_LNC037576)
Source: RNAcentral
UCAUGAAUAUUUUCUUCACAAACCAAAAAGAAAGAAAAGUAGCUUUUCCAUCAAACAAGUAAUGAAUUCCCAACUUCUCAAGCACCUGUGCAAAAAAAGAGACGAGAAUCGACCAAGAACUUUCAAGUGGAACUUGGAGGUUAGAUGGUAAAUUUAGCUGUUUUUAAGUCUUUAUUUUGUAUUUCUUUCCAUUUGUUUUGUUUUCGUACUCACCUCAAAGGCUCAAACAGGUCUAGUAGCAUCCGAAGUUCGACCAAGCAAACCAUAUAUCUCAUAAGAAUCUGAUUACCACACUCCUAGGCAAGUUCUGGACCACUUGGUAGCAGAUCAUAGCCGUCAUGGUGCUUAGAAGUCUCCUUUUCGACAGGGA